UACGUAGGUGGCGAGCGUUGUUCGGAUUUAUUGGGCGUAAAGGGUCCGCAGGGGUUUGCUAAGUCUGAUGUGAAAUCCCAAGGCUCAACCUUGGAACUGCAUUGGAAACUGGUGAACUAGAGUAUCGGAGAGGUAAAUGGAAUUCCUGGUGUAGCGGUGGAAUGCGUAGAUAUCAGGAAGAACACCGAGAGCGAAGGCAAUUUACUGGACGAUCACUGACCCUCAGGGACGAAAGCGUGGGGAGCGAACAGG
Molecule: ribosomal RNA, 252 nt
Filed under: uncultured bacterium
Lineage: Bacteria
Description: partial 16S ribosomal RNA
Rfam family: Bacterial small subunit ribosomal RNA
Source: RNAcentral